GCCUGGCGAGGCUGGGGGUGGUGCCACACUUCCCCCCACCACCUGGUGUCUAGGGGCCAGCCCUCCAUCCCGCGAGGGAAAGGGCUGCCUUCCGCACCGCGAUAGGUUCGUGGCUGUGGCCCACGCGAGCCCCCUCAGGCCGUCCGAAGGACCGACGGACCUUAGCAGGGCCCUUGCCCCGCAGAGCUCUAAACAGCGCGGGGCGUGAGCCGGAGCAUCCGCGUUCCGACCGUUUUUGCGAACAGAAGGUGGAGGCAGAUUGCUUUGCGCACGUGCUCGGGAAGCUGAAGGGAUGAGUGCGCAGGUGCGUCCUCCCCCCUACUCCAGCCUUACCUGAUGGGUCAUUCCUUUCGCCCCCUACUCACCAAGCUAUCCCUUAGAUUUGUGGGGCCGGUAACUCAGCUUAGGACGAGGGAACUCGCAGAUGAGGGACCUGUAUAGGGACUGAUGGGUGUAAGAGGGCAGGGGUGGGCAAAGGCUAAGGAAAGAGGAGAACAUUGGAAUCCUUUGAAACUUUGGGAUAGGGCCCAACAGGAAUCCCACUUCUGCUUUGUCCUGGAAGAUCUGACCCAGGCCAUGGAAAUGGGUUAAAUGUGGACGUACACCGCCAUUGGCCACCACCCAUAUGUGGAGUGCAGGCAACCUUCUAUAUCCCUACAUACAACUUCCUCUCUGACUUCAUGGCCACAGGGCCCAUUUUCACUACUGACAUUCUAAGGGGAUCCAUGGUGGUCCUAAGAGGGUGGAUUCAGCCUUAUCCCGACCAUUCCAGAUAAAUCCAAUCCAAGGAAGAACAGACUGCCUACCACAACAACACAUCUCCAAUUAACCCUCCCCACCAAGUGCCCAACAAAGAAUAACUUGUUCCUUUCUUGGGGUAGAUGCAGUCCUGCAAGGUGCCACCAUAGUUCAACCAAUAGGGGUGAAUUUCAGACCCCAUUAGGGUCUAGUAGAGCACGGGACCUACAGAGCCCAGGUGGCACCCUCACUUUUCCAAACCCCCUUCUUGUAUGGAAGAUCACCUAUUUCUUGAGUUGUAGAGUCCAGUCUGCAUCAUCCAACUCCCCCAAGAUCCACUUCCCUUUUUUUUAACCUCCUCUCCCAACUCCCCACCUCAGCUUGGCCACUGUGCAAGACCCCAGAGCUGGGUGUCUGCAGACAGCACAGGACAGGAAAGCAGUCUUGGCCCCAGACCCCUGCCAGUGCACCCUGAUCUUCCUU
RNAcentral lists this long non-coding RNA (1221 nucleotides) under Marmota monax (woodchuck). The record is from RNAcentral. Lineage: Eukaryota; Metazoa; Chordata; Mammalia; Rodentia; Sciuridae.